GACAAAUCCAACUAUGGUUAACUGUUCUUUACACUAAGCACCGCACUGAGAGCAACACAAACAAAACUGCAGGUGAAGGUGUCUGCAGCACACACAGUGAGAAUUCGCCCUAGAAAGUACAGGAUAUGUAACAUGCUGCGGGACAGAUGCAGAGAGGCCACUUUCCCUCUGAAGAGGAAUCACACACCUUAGCAUGUGCCUGACAAAAGGUAUUCCCUUUUCUCUGCCAGUCCCGGAAUUUAACAUUAGCCUCCACCAAAAAGCCGUCUGAUUCACUUGACUGAGGGCUUCACUGCUUCCACUGGACAGAAAAAGCAAACUGAACAUGAAGCAAACUCAGAAAUCAAACAGCUGCUCUGAUGGCACAGCCGGGCUCCAUCACACAGGCAUAUUUUUGAAGCAUAAUUAAUAUCAAACGUCAAGGGUGGCAGGACAGGGAGGAUUUAGUUAUUCUGCUACUUACACUGUCAUUAUGCGUUUUAGCCUCUUCAGAAAUGAGGUUUCUUCAUCACGUCUUUUGAAAUGCUUCAUACCAUCAGGUAUGAUGUUAAGGAAAAACAUCUAAAUUGGUUUUUGUUUGAAGCAUGAAAAAGGGAAAUUCAUGUUUCAGGAAGCAAAGUUUUUCUAUUAUCAACAGGUUAAUGUGUUUGGUAGAUCAAUGUGGAUUUCGGCAAUGGCCGGCAGAAACUCCAACCAGAAAGACCCCUGAACUUUACUGACUUUCCCUGGAGGCCAGAGGAAGUCAGAGCCUUGGAGCCAGUCAGUGCAAAGGUGGGGCUGGACAGGGCAAGGUACUGAAAGCAGAGGUGGCGGGAAGGGGAAAGCUGGAGAAAGACAGGAGGAAAGAGGGCCAUGGGAGCCGGAAUCCGAGGAGAGGUUUAGGCUAUAGGGAGGCGAGCAGGUGAGGGCCAGAGAAGGGGUUCUCAAACUGGGGUCCCCAGUGGAAUGGCCUGGGAAGCUUCAAAACUCCCCAUGCCUGGGUUCCGCCCACAGGGACUCUGGUGUCACUGGCGUGGGGUGCAGGAAUUUAUCCUGCCUGCAGGUGAUUCUAUGGGACAGGCAAGUUAACAACAAUUGACUGUAAGAGAAUGAUGCAGGCGUAAGUGGCAGCCCCCACAAGCGUGCCUGGAAAGGAGCUGCAGGUGAGGACAGAGGCCCCAGUGUUCAUGUGACCCGCACAGGCCAAUCCUGCAAAGCAGAUCUGGGAUAAGAAUAAGGAAUGCCUGACCCCAGAGACCUUCUCUUUCAACUGAAGCCCUCUGACAGCCAGCUCAAUCCCAGAGUGUCCCAUCUGCUCAGAGCCAAAAGGAGCCCAGAGGUUCACAGCGUGUGCCCAGGACAGCCGCCAGCCUCCUGUCUGCAGAAAGAUGGAGAAGGUUAAACAGGUCCCCCACAACCCUUCCAGAGCAGGGCUGACAGCCCUGAAGUGAGGCUGCACACACAGCUUCCCAGUGAUGUUAUUAGGAGCAGCUGCACAGCUUCCCAGUGGUGUUAUUAGGAGCAGCGCUUAUAUUUUUCCAUAAUCCAGAAAAAAAUGUCAAUAAAUAGGUCUUUUAUGACUUGGCUUUAAAAUUUGUAGAGAGCCAAACGCCAGUCAUGAUCAUGCCGUACCAUACCAGUGUCUGAUAAAAAGAGACUGAUUCUGCCAUCCCCCCAAGAUUGAUGGCCCUCAAAGAAAACAAGGAAGACCAGUCAAUAAUGACCUACUUAGGGGGCAUUUUCAAAGAAAAAUAAUGGUAGAACUUCAUGCUGUUGAAUGACUCCUAUUUUUGUAAAAAUGGAAUGCUGAAAUAAGUCACAAAGAUCAAAAGACUUUUUAACAAAAUGGCAUAACAUUUGAAUAAUCUGAAUUUGACACACAGAAAGCAUUUCAAUGUUAUUUAAAAUAGACGUCUACCUGCUUAAACGGUAUUUAAAAUGCAAUCUAAUUGUGAGAAAAAAUGGAAGGAAAGGCUUGUACACAUAUUUCAGAGUCAGAGAAUGCAUUAAAACUAUCACAAGAAAAUAAAGGAAUUGUUAUUUAUCAUUACUAAAAAUCAACUGUCAGUCACUCAGACAACUACUGUUGAAGUUGUCAAAACAUUUCUUUAUAUACCUUAACUGGGAAUUUUUAUCAUUGAUUUCAAAAUGCAGAAUUAAAGAUAAACCCUAAUUACUGUAUAAAAGAUACUAUCACCUUCAGAAAUGAGUCUGUGGGAGCUUUAUGCACACUCCAUAUGAACUUACAGAUUUGCAAAGUGGAAGAUGUGGCCAAGAUGCAUGUUUUUCAAUAAAGAUGUUGUUCUUAUAAAAAAGGUAGAAGCAUAACAAUAUGAGCUCACUUGGGAAGAAUAAACUGCAGGUGGAAAAGGAUGAAAAACAGGCAGUGGAUCUAAAUCUUCCCAAUGUGCCACAUAGUUCAUUAGAUGCCACAUUUGACUGUGAAAUUAAAUUAAGACUAGGCUUCUAGCUUUCCUUUAAAUAAUAAAAACUUUAGUUACUUGAUUUACCAGGCUUUUCAUGCUCACUUGAACCAUCUGCAAAACUGUUACAAAGGUGAGCUUGAACUUGAGUUCCACGUGUCAAAACAAUUACAGUUACUAUUUUAUAAGCAAGUUCUUUAGAAGAUAAAUCCUCUCGAAUAAUAGCUAAGAUUUAUCUUAUCCAUGUUGAAUUUCUUUGAAUUUUAACUUAUUUAAAAGGAAAAUGGCAGAAAAGGUUAAUUUGGAUGCUGCCAAACAUGAACAAAAGGAAGACAGAACUGUAGGAGGGGCUAUGACUUCAAGGAAGGCGGAGCUUCCUCGGGUCCAUGACACAAUACUUUGAGAAGUCACUGUUCAUUUCACAUACAAGUUUAGAUAUCCCAGGAUUACAUUUUCCCCUACAAUUAGCUGUGGGCUUUAUUUUUGCCAGUCUGAAAGUAGAAACUCCUAGGUUCAUUCUAUGAGAACGUGGUUACAGAAAAUGAAUCUUGCCCAAAAUGUAUUAUGGAAAUAAUACACAGAUAUCUUCCUUAUUGAAUACUGACAGCAGUUCAGCUUUAAAAGAAAACCAAGUAUGAAAUUGGUCAUGAGGCCAUGAAUUUUAUUUGUAAAGAUGAUCAAGUAGAACCAAAGUUAAGCAAACACCUCUGACCAAAAGUAGGGCCAGGUUUUGACAACGGAUACAUAAUUGCUCAGACGUGAGGGAACUUUCAUAUACCACUGGGAGGAAUACAAAAUGCCACAGUUGUUUUGGAAAACAGUCUGAAAACUCUUCCACAGAUGAGAAGCAGAGUGACCAUGUGACAUAGCAAGCCCACCCAAGUACAUACCCAAGAGAAGCAGAAACUCAGGUCCACACCAAAGCUUGAACACCACCGUCCACAGCCUCAGGAUUCAUAACAGCCAAGCUUAAAGACGACCAGAAAGUCCAUCCCUCAUGAGUGGAUAAAUAACAUGUUGUAGCCAUAAAAUGGAAUAUUAUUCAGCAAUCAAAGAAAAUGAAGAACUGAUUCAUGCAAACAACAAAAAUGAACCCCCAAAACAUGAUGCGAAGUAGAAGAACCCAAACACAAAAGACCAGACGUCCUAUGUUAUGUGUAUAUAAAGCAUCAGACGUCCUAUGUUCUGUGUAUAUAAAGCACCAGACGUCCUAUGAUUCUGUGUAUAUAAAGCACCAGACGUCCUAUGAUUCUGUGUAUAUAAAGCCUCAGAAGUCGCAAAUCCAGAGAGGCAAAAAGCAGGUCCCUGGUGGCCAGGGACUGGGGCAGGGAGCAUGCAAAAUGGCUGUAAAUGGCUUCUUUCUGGGGUGAUGGAAAUGGUCUAAAACCUAUUGUGCCAAAGGCUGCACAACUCUGUGAAUAUAAUAAAAACACUGAAUCACACCCUUUAAA
RNAcentral lists this long non-coding RNA (3853 nucleotides) under Homo sapiens (human). RNAcentral describes it as "non-protein coding lnc-TMEM18-20:1". Lineage: Eukaryota; Metazoa; Chordata; Mammalia; Primates; Hominidae. The record is from RNAcentral.